This is a long non-coding RNA of Agelaius phoeniceus (red-winged blackbird), 1323 nucleotides long. RefSeq lists it as uncharacterized. NCBI's taxonomy places the organism in Eukaryota, Metazoa, Chordata, Aves, Passeriformes, Icteridae. The record is from RefSeq and is a predicted model, not a curated record.
AGGCGAGGCCAAAACCAGCGGGAGGGGCGGGGCUUGUAAAGGACACGCGGCAGGAAGCGGUGGUGACGUCACCAAGCGGACCCAGGCCGCGUUGCUAUGUCAGGGGGAACAGGCAAUGACGUCAUAUGCACAGUCACCGCCCCCCCGCCCCCCCCCAGCACCAAUGACGACACCAGGCCGGUCAGGAAUCUGCAGUUUAUUGAAGGUCCCUAUUGAUAGGGGGGUCCUGUCACGAUACUGGGCAUUCCCAGCGAUACAGCGCCCCCUCAGGGUCCUGGGUCCUUGGCACAGGGGCCCUGUCGUGAUCCAGGAGCACUGUCACGACAGGGGGUUCCUGUCUUCAUCCUCCUCUUCAGAGCGAUCCAGGGUCCUGUCAGGAUACAAAGCCCCUGCAGAACGCAAAUAAAAAGAAAAUUGGGGGCGGGAACGGCCGCGGAAGAAUCCGGCGGAAGGAUCCACGGAAAGGAUUCGGUGUGAAGUGACCUCCGGACAUGUGGCCGGCGGAGGGAUCCGCGCGCGGAGGGAUCUGAGAGUGAUGCGACAGUGGGCGGAUCCACACGGAGACCCGCCCCCUCACCAGGCCCCUCCCUUGGCUUUGCCGCAGUCGCCGCGGGGGCGGCGCCGGGUGCGGGAGUGCGGCGUCAUCGCUUCGUGCACUCCGCAUUGGGCGGGGGAAGCGCCGAGUCACCUCUGCCGCGUCCGGAGAGGCCGAACGGUUAAAAAAAAAUUACCCUUUUCUCCUUGGUUUUACCUCAGAAAAGCCCGAGUUCCUUCAGGAAAAUAUCAUUUGCCUCAGAAAUGGCCGACUUCCGUCAGAAAAUGAUCGGUUUCCCGAGAAAAUGUCCGAUUUUCCUCAGAACGUUUGAUUUUACCUCAUCAGUGUCUCGCUUCCCUCUUGAGACGUCUGGUUGUCUCAAAAACGUUUGAUUUCCCUCAAGAAGUGUCCGUUUUGCCUCAGAAAUGUCUUAUUUACUUCGAAAGUGUCUACUUCCCUCACAAGUAUCUGAUUUGUAUCAAAAAUGCUUCAUUUCCCUCAGAAAGUUCCCGAUUUGCCUCAGAAAUGUCAAAUUUUACCUCAGAAACGUCAAGUUUUACCUCAGAAAUGUCCUAUUUUCCUCAGAAAAAUAUAAUUUUUAUUCAGCCAUAACCCGCUCCCCCCCCCCAAAAUGGCGCCUUCCCACGGGAACAGCUCCGUGAGGCGGGGCGGGGGGCGAUCUGCAUCCUUCACGAUUUCCCUCAGAUAACAUUUAUUCCAAAGCAUUUCUUUAUCCUAUCAAAUAUUUAUAUUUUCUUCAUUUUUUAGUUUCUAAAUGUUGGAUUUCA